UACGUAGGGGGCAAGCGUUGUCCGGAUUUAUUGGGCGUAAAGAGCGUGUAGGCGGCCAGACAGGUCCGUUGUGAAAACUCGAGGCUCAACCUCGAGACGCCGAUGGAAACCGUUUGGCUAGAGUCCGGAAGAGGAGAGUGGAAUUCCUGGUGUAGCGGUGAAAUGCGCAGAUAUCAGGAAGAACACCCGUGGCUAAGGCGGCUCACUGGCCCGGUACUGACGCUGAGGUGCGAAAGCGUGGGGAGCAAACAGG
This 253-nucleotide ribosomal RNA is filed under the name uncultured bacterium. RNAcentral's name for it is "partial 16S ribosomal RNA". It matches the Rfam family "Bacterial small subunit ribosomal RNA", at positions 524 to 776 of the family's 1533-position model. The record is from RNAcentral.